This 511-nucleotide ribosomal RNA is filed under the name uncultured Lysobacteraceae bacterium. RNAcentral's name for it is "uncultured Xanthomonadaceae bacterium partial 16S ribosomal RNA". Lineage: Bacteria; Pseudomonadati; Pseudomonadota; Gammaproteobacteria; Lysobacterales; Lysobacteraceae. The record is from RNAcentral.
CACGAAGUUAGCCGGUGCUUAUUCUUCCGGUACCGUCAUGACGCUUGGGUAUUAACCGAGCGCUUUUCUUUCCGGACAAAAGAGCUUUACAACCCGAGGGCCUUCUUCACUCACGCGGUAUGGCUGGAUCAGGCUUGCGCCCAUUGUCCAAUAUUCCCCACUGCUGCCUCCCGUAGGAGUCUGGACCGUGUCUCAGUUCCAGUGUGGCUGAUCAUCCUCUCAGACCAGCUACGGAUCGUCGCCUUGGUGGGCCGUUACCCCGCCAACAAGCUAAUCCGACAUCGGCUCAUCUAUCCGCGCGAAGCCCGAAGGUCCUCCGCUUUCACCCUAAGGUCGUAUGCGGUAUUAGCGUAAGUUUCCCUACGUUAUCCCCCACGAAAAGGUAGAUUCCGAUGUAUUCCUCACCCGUCCGCCACUCGCCACCCAGAGAGCAAGCUCUCCUGUGCUGCCGUUCGACUUGCAUGUGUUAGGCCUACCGCCAGCGUUCACUCUGAGCCAGGAUCAAACUCUC